UCAUUCCGUUAUGACCUUUGGCAAGUUCUUGCCUUCCGUAAGCCUCAGUUUCCACACUUGUGAGAUGGAAGCGACACUACCACACAGCUCACAGAGACAGCUUAUUGAGAGAGUCAGAGGAUGUAAUGUCCGGAACAUCACUCACACCUGCUGACAACAGCUGAUACCAUUGGGCAGGCUUGGUGGCAUCCCAUCCCCAUGAGCUGGGCCUGUGGCCCUGUGGCUCCCCAUGGCACUUGCUGCCAACCUCAGUCCUGCUCAACCCCAGGGACUCCCGGAGAGCCCCAUUUUCCAGGAGUUCCCAUUCCAAAGUGUCCCCACCUGAUGGAAAGUCCUUAUGUCACUUCCUAGGGCAAUCAUCGCUCAAGAACAUCGUCCAACAGUGGAUCAACCUAUCUCAACGUGCCCCAUUAAAUCACCUCUCCUUUCCAGUCGCUCCUGUGGGCAGACCGUGUCCGGUUUCAGCAGGGCUCACCUGCUUGUGCCAGGCCACGCAUGCCAUUCAAAAUACCCAAUAUGGACACUUUCUCGAAACCAAGCGUGCCACCCCACAGCCUGUCAGGCUGCGCCACGCAAACCUGGAGGGGCGCCUGCACAAACUGGCAGCUCCUAGGCCUGAUGGUAACUUGUACCCUGUGUGAUGAACUAUUUUGUGUUGACUCAUGGCCUGAUCCCUACCCACACCAAUGUGACAUCACCGUUUCCAUAGUAAAUAAUAAUCUUCAAAUGGAAUACAGCAGGAGCUGAACACAGAAUACAGCCAAAUGAGACAAACAUGUUCCUCGAACAAUGGAUACAAUGGUGCGGUAUGGCCACAAGCCUAUGCAUUCAUGUUCCAGAUGACUUCCAUAUCUCAGCCUCUGGUGCUUCCAUUCAACAAGGAGUGGGGAGGACUUGCGAAUAUGAAAACAAUACCCCACAACCUCACAUAUCCUAUGGGAGCAUAUAUUUAUAUAGAGAGACAUGACUCCCAUUACAUUAGCUGUUAAGACUUAUUCAUGCGAUCCUGCAUCUGGAGCAUGUGUUAAUCCUCAACGUUUCAAAGUAAGAAUGUGGACGUGAGUUCUCUACAGAAUUUAAAAUAGACCUUGGGAUCUUGCUCUCAUUCACUGCCUGGAGCCCUCACGUAGCACCCAGGGUACGUUCUCUUCACAGCUGCCUACAUUUUUACGCUGAUGAAUGCAAGCUCCUUAAGGGUAGGGGCCCUGCCGUGUAACAGAGAGCGUGAUUUCCCAGAACUCAGCACGGGGCCUCAUGGACAGGAGCAAGCGUGUACGUUUACUGCUAGAAUGACAGAGCUGCCCAAGGGAGCAGAGAAUCCAUGUGAUAGCAUGACAUCACCUAGAGGUGAUGGAAAUGGAGAAUCUCAGGCCCAGACCUCCUGAGUCAGAAUUCCCAUUUAAACAAGAUCUAAAUAAACAAACAAACAAACAAACAAAGAUCUCCUGGUCAUUCACAAGCAUGUGACGUCGUGAGAGGCCCUAGCAGGUCUACACCACCUUCACGUCCAAGCUUGAGAGGGCUACGCACCUAAGAUUCUGGUGUGUGUGGAGGGGCGGGGGAGAGAAGCCAAUAAUAACAUUUAUCGAGUUCGGGAGGAACCUAGGAGGGAGGUACUAUCGUGAUUCCAUUUCACCAGCUGGCACCGUGUGGAGACGGACUCAAACGUACAGAGGGUACGCUCAGAAGGCAUCAUGUUACGAGCCCCAGGAACCGGGGAAAUCUGCUAUUCCAGUAACACCUUGGAAGAAUUCCAACUUACACCAGAUAGCAGCUUCUGACAUGAAGCAUUUACAUACGGACAGGACUUAGGGCGGCCCAUAUUCCCUACCUCACAUGAGUAAUAUGUGCUUAUUGGGAAACAAUUGGAAAAUACAGAUAAGCAAAAAGAAGUAAAAACCACCCAAUGAUGACAACAUAGCUAUUAUUUUAAUAAAUAUUGUUCCAUAUGUCACUAAUA
This is a long non-coding RNA of Canis lupus familiaris (dog), 1960 nucleotides long. RefSeq lists it as uncharacterized. The record is from RefSeq and is a predicted model, not a curated record. The transcript has 2 exons. Lineage: Eukaryota; Metazoa; Chordata; Mammalia; Carnivora; Canidae.